AUACGGAGGAUCCAAGCGUUAUCCGGAUUCAUUGGGUUUAAAGGGAGCGUAGGCGGAUGUAUAAGUCAGUGGUGAAAGCCUAAGGCUCAACUGUAGAAUUGCAAUUGAUACUGUUGGUCUUGAGUGCACUUGAUGUGGGCGGAAUGCGUGGUGUAGCGGUGAAAUGCUUAGAUAUGACGAAGAACACCGAUUGCGAAGGCAGCUCACAGAACUGUAACUGACGCUGAGGCACGAAAGUGUGGGUAUCAAACAGGAUUAGAUACCCUGGUAGUCCACGCUGUAAACGAUGAAUACUCGCUGUUUGCGAUAUACAGUCAGCGGCCAAGCGAAAGCAUUAAGUAUUCCACCUGGGGAGUACGACCGCAAGAUUGA
Molecule: ribosomal RNA, 372 nt
Filed under: uncultured bacterium
Lineage: Bacteria
Description: bacterial SSU rRNA
Rfam family: Bacterial small subunit ribosomal RNA
Source: RNAcentral